This 429-nucleotide ribosomal RNA is filed under the name Chloroflexota bacterium. Its description in RNAcentral is "Chloroflexi bacterium partial 16S ribosomal RNA". It matches the Rfam family "Bacterial small subunit ribosomal RNA", at positions 355 to 776 of the family's 1533-position model. The record is from RNAcentral. Lineage: Bacteria; Bacillati; Chloroflexota.
UGGGGAAUAUUGCACAAUGGGCGCAAGCCUGAUGCAGCCAUGCCGCGUGUAUGAAGAAGGCCUUCGGGUUGUAAAGUACUUUCAGUCGGGAGGAAGGUGGUAAGGUUAAUAACCUUAUCAAUUGACGUUACCGACAGAAGAAGCACCGGCUAACUCCGUGCCAGCAGCCGCGGUAAUACGGAGGGUGCAAGCGUUAAUCGGAAUUACUGGGCGUAAAGCGCACGCAGGCGGUUGAUUGAGUCAGAUGUGAAAUCCCCGGGCUUAACCCGGGAAUUGCAUCUGAUACUGGUCAGCUAGAGUCUUGUAGAGGGGGGUAGGAUUCCAUGUGUAGCGGUGAAAUGUGUAGAGAUGUGGAGGAAUACCGGUGGCGAAGGCGGCCCCCUGGACAAAGACUGACGCUCAGGUGCGAAAGCGUGGGGAGCAAACAGG